CCAGAGUGUCCACCAUGACCCUAACAGUGACACGUACACAGGUCUGAACGUGAGGACCAGUUCAACUGACUACGACACUCUGGCAAGUGUCCAUCCUGACCCUACCAGUGACAUGUGCACAUCUCUGAAGAAGAAUACCAGGUCACCAGAGUGACAUCCAGGCAGUAGAUACUAAGCCACCAUAGAACCUGGACUGAAGAGAACCACCACAGAACCUGGAUUGAAGACAACCACCACAGAACCUUGCAUUAAAAUAAUCUACGCAGAAUCUGGA
Molecule: long non-coding RNA, 274 nt
Organism: Oncorhynchus kisutch (coho salmon)
Lineage: Eukaryota; Metazoa; Chordata; Actinopteri; Salmoniformes; Salmonidae
Exons: 3
Source: RefSeq, a predicted model, not a curated record